UUUUCCUUUUACUGUGUCUGUGGUUCCACAACUUCCUUUUUUCCCCCCUUCUCUACAGACUUUUUACCUAAUUUGGACUCUGCUUAGAUUGACCUAGUUUUCUCUUUAAUCAAAUCUCCAGGAACCAAUUUAUUACCAUUAAAAAUGAUCUAACAAGCUUUAUUUUUAUCAUUGUUAAAAAUCCUCAUUUUGAGUAACACAACCACAAAGUAAAGAAUGUUAUCAUUGAUUUAACCAGUAAAAGACAAUACUUAACAAUAAAAUUUUAAAAACAUAAGCCAGCCGGCUUACCUGAUGAAAAUAAUGAUUGCGGCUGCAAGCUGCAUUUGCCAGACAAUGGUUUUAGAUUUGCUGUGCAUCCUGAACGCCAUGAAAAAUGGACUGCCUGGCCUCUUGAUAAGGAAAUCAAUUACUUGCUUCAUUCUGAGUGAAAAGAAUGAAAGGAUUUAAAAAAUCAUAAUAACCAAAACGGGAAGAAUGAAGCAAACUGGCAAGAGGCAUAUCAUACAUUUCAAGCUAGUGUUGUUUUGUCUGAAAGUAAAGUCUUGAUGCCUUCAAAUGUUCCAGGUGAUUUUUAUUCCUUCGUUCUUGAGUCCUCUGAAGCUCCUGGGAACACCCCCCUACAAGCAGCUGCCAGCCUUUAAUCAUGCCCCAUGUCUUUUUUUUCCAACUUGUCAGGACAGUCACUCAAACAGAGUCUCCUCUGAUCCUCCCCACCGCAGGCAUCCCAUUCAAGAAUUUGCAGCCCAGCUCGCCUGGCAGUGGAAAACAAAUUUUGUUUCCAGGGGGAAGUUACACAUAAUCUUUUCUUCUGAACUGGGCUUCUGUCAUACUCGAGUUACUUCUUUUGGCUCUGGGUGCUCCCUGAGCAGGCCUGGCUAAUAGGAAGUGAAGCAAGCACUGGUUUUUCAAAGCCCCAUUUAGUCUUCCUAAUGGCUCAUUCUCACUGAGCAUUAUAAGGGUGAAAAUAUGUUGAUUUCCUGAUUGACUAAAGCUACCUUGAGUCAUUUCAGCCAUUUCAUUAUCUUUUCACCCUCACAAAUACCACUUUCUCAGCCAGGAAUCUAUAAAGCUGAUAUGAUAUUCAGAAUUUAAUUAAACAUUUAUUUGCAUUGCUCAAAAGUGAAUUUAUAGUAGCUUGAUCAUAAUAUGAAUGACCUCUUUUUUUUUUUUCAGAGGAAGGGAAGGCAGUAAAUAAAACAUACAUUUACACUUGCCAGCUGAUGUUGAAGGCAUAUAGGAUUUUCUUUUCCCUAAAAAAAAAAAAAAAAAAA
RNAcentral lists this long non-coding RNA (1274 nucleotides) under Macaca fascicularis (crab-eating macaque). Its description in RNAcentral is "lncRNA (ENSMFAG00000058877.1)". The record is from RNAcentral. Lineage: Eukaryota; Metazoa; Chordata; Mammalia; Primates; Cercopithecidae.